RNAcentral lists this ribosomal RNA (488 nucleotides) under uncultured bacterium. RNAcentral's name for it is "partial 16S ribosomal RNA". It matches the Rfam family "Bacterial small subunit ribosomal RNA", at positions 899 to 1397 of the family's 1533-position model. The record is from RNAcentral.
ACUCAAAUGAAUUGACGGGGGCCCGCACAAGCAGCGGAGCGUGUGGUUUAAUUCGAUGACACGCGAAGAACCUUACCCGGACUUGACAUGCGCGUGGUACUAACCUGAAAGGGAAGGGACCCCUCGGGGAGCGCGCACAGGUGUUGCACGGCCGUCGUCAGCUCGUGCCGUGAGGUGUUGGGUUAAGUCUCGCAACGAGCGCAACCCCCGUCGCCAGUUAUACUUUUCUGGCGAGACUGCCGGGCAACCCCCGGAGGAAGGAGGGGAUGAUGUCAGGUCAGCGUGGCCCUUACGUCCGGGGCUACACACACGCUACAAUGGGUGGUACAACGAGUUGCGAAGGGGCGACCCGGAGCCAAUCUCAUCAAAGCCAUCCUCAGUUCGGAUCGCAGGCUGCAACCCGCCUGCGUGAAGCCGGAGUUGCUAGUAACCGUAGGUCAGCACUACUGCGGUGAAUACUGUUCCCGGGCCUUGUACACACCGCCCGU